RNAcentral lists this ribosomal RNA (496 nucleotides) under uncultured Roseburia sp. RNAcentral describes it as "partial 16S ribosomal RNA". The record is from RNAcentral. Lineage: Bacteria; Bacillati; Bacillota; Clostridia; Lachnospirales; Lachnospiraceae.
CACGUAUUUAGCCGGUGCUUCUUAGUCAGGUACCGUCAUUUUCUUCCCUGCUGAUAGAGCUUUACAUACCGAAAUACUUCUUCGCUCACGCGGCGUCGCUGCAUCAGGGUUCCCCCCAUUGUGCAAUAUUCCCCACUGCUGCCUCCCGUAGGAGUUUGGGCCGUGCCUCAGUCCCAAUGUGGCCGUCCACCCUCUCAGGCCGGCUACUGAUCGUCGCUUUGGUAGGCCGUUACCCUGCCAACUGGCUAAUCAGACGCGGGUCCAUCCCAUACCACCGGAGUUUUUCACACAGCAACAUGCGUUGCCGUGCGCUUAUGCGGUAUUAGCAGUCAUUUCUAACUGUUAUCCCCCUGUAUGGGGCAGGUUGCCCACGCGUUACUCACCCGUCCGCCACUCAGUCACUAUACUCUUUUCCGAAGAAUCCAACUAUAGCGCUUCGUUCGACUUGCAUGUGUUAGGCACGCCGCCAGCGUUCAUCCUGAGCCAGGAUCAAACU